RNAcentral lists this ribosomal RNA (503 nucleotides) under uncultured bacterium. RNAcentral's name for it is "partial 16S ribosomal RNA". It matches the Rfam family "Bacterial small subunit ribosomal RNA", at positions 30 to 523 of the family's 1533-position model. The record is from RNAcentral.
AUUGAACGCUGGCGGCAGGCUUAACACAUGCAAGUCGAGCGGGGUGAUGGUGCUUGCACUAUCACUUAGCGGCGGACGGGUGAGUAAUGCUUAGGAAUCUGCCUAUUAGUGGGGGACAACAUCUCGAAAGGGAUGCUAAUACCGCAUACGUCCUACGGGAGAAAGCAGGGGAUCACUUGUGACCUUGCGCUAAUAGAUGAGCCUAAGUCGGAUUAGCUAGUUGGUGGGGUAAAGGCCCACCAAGGCGACGAUCUGUAGCGGGUCUGAGGGGAUGAUCCGCCACACUGGGACUGAGACCCGGCCCAGACUCCUACGGGAGGCAGCGGUGGGAAACAUUGGAAAAUGGGCGGAAGCCUGAUCCAGCCAUGCCGCGUGUGUGAAGAAGGCCUUAUGGUUGUAAAGCACUUUAAGCGAGGAGGAGGCUACUUUAGUUAAUACCUAGAGAUAGUGGACGUUACUCGCAGAAUAAGCACCGGCUAACUCUGUGCCAGCCGCCGCCGUAA